RNAcentral lists this ribosomal RNA (1461 nucleotides) under uncultured Streptococcus sp. Its description in RNAcentral is "bacterial SSU rRNA". It matches the Rfam family "Bacterial small subunit ribosomal RNA". The record is from RNAcentral. Lineage: Bacteria; Bacillati; Bacillota; Bacilli; Lactobacillales; Streptococcaceae.
GCGAACGCUGGCGGCAGGCUUAACACAUGCAAGUCGAACGGGCACUUCGGUGUCAGUGGCAGACGGGUGAGUAACGCGUGGGAACGUACCUUUUGGUUCGGAACAACUGAGGGAAACUUCAGCUAAUACCGGAUAAGCCCUAACGGGGAAAGAUUUAUCGCCGAAAGAUCGGCCCGCGUCUGAUUAGCUAGUUGGUAGGGUAAUGGCCUACCAAGGCGACGAUACAUAGCCGACCUGAGAGGGUGAUCGGCCACACUGGGACUGAGACACGGCCCAGACUCCUACGGGAGGCAGCAGUAGGGAAUCUUCGGCAAUGGGGGCAACCCUGACCGAGCAACGCCGCGUGAGUGAAGAAGGUUUUCGGAUCGUAAAGCUCUGUUGUAAGUCAAGAACGGGUGUGAGAGUGGAAAGUUCACACUGUGACGGUAGCUUACCAGAAAGGGACGGCUAACUACGUGCCAGCAGCCGCGGUAAUACGUAGGUCCCGAGCGUUGUCCGGAUUUAUUGGGCGUAAAGCGAGCGCAGGCGGUUUGAUAAGUCUGAAGUUAAAGGCUGUGGCUCAACCAUAGUUCGCUUUGGAAACUGUCAAACUUGAGUGCAGAAGGGGAGAGUGGAAUUCCAUGUGUAGCGGUGAAAUGCGUAGAUAUAUGGAGGAACACCGGUGGCGAAAGCGGCUCUCUGGUCUGUAACUGACGCUGAGGCUCGAAAGCGUGGGGAGCGAACAGGAUUAGAUACCCUGGUAGUCCACGCCGUANACGAUGAGUGCUAGGUGUUGGAUCCUUUCCGGGAUUCAGUGCCGCAGCUAACGCAUUAAGCACUCCGCCUGGGGAGUACGACCGCAAGGUUGAAACUCAAAGGAAUUGACGGGGGCCCGCACAAGCGGUGGAGCAUGUGGUUUAAUUCGAAGCAACGCGAAGAACCUUACCAGGUCUUGACAUCCCGAUGCUAUUUCUAGAGAUAGAAAGUUACUUCGGUACAUCGGUGACAGGUGGUGCAUGGUUGUCGUCAGCUCGUGUCGUGAGAUGUUGGGUUAAGUCCCGCAACGAGCGCAACCCCUAUUGUUAGUUGCCAUCAUUCAGUUGGGCACUCUAGCGAGACUGCCGGUAAUAAACCGGAGGAAGGUGGGGAUGACGUCAAAUCAUCAUGCCCCUUAUGACCUGGGCUACACACGUGCUACAAUGGUUGGUACAACGAGUUGCGAGUCGGUGACGGCGAGCUAAUCUCUUAAAGCCAAUCUCAGUUCGGAUUGUAGGCUGCAACUCGCCUACAUGAAGUCGGAAUCGCUAGUAAUCGCGGAUCAGCACGCCGCGGUGAAUACGUUCCCGGGCCUUGUACACACCGCCCGUCACACCACGAGAGUUUGUAACACCCGAAGUCGGUGAGGUAACCUUUUGGAGCCAGCCGCCUAAGGUGGGACAGAUGAUUGGGGUGAAGUCGUAACAAGGUAGCCGUAUCGGAAGG